UACGGAGGAUGCGAGCGUUAUCCGGAUUUAUUGGGUUUAAAGGGUGCGUAGGCGGGUUAUCAAGUCAGCGGUAAAAUCGUGGAGCUCAACUCCAUCCAGCCGUUGAAACUGGCUGGCUUGAGUUGGGGAAAGGCAGGCGGAAUGCGCGGUGUAGCGGUGAAAUGCAUAGAUAUCGCGCAGAACCCCGAUUGCGAAGGCAGCAUGCCGGCUCCACACUGACGCUGAGGCUCGAAAGCGUGGGUAUCGAACAGG
RNAcentral lists this ribosomal RNA (252 nucleotides) under uncultured Bacteroidales bacterium. RNAcentral describes it as "partial 16S ribosomal RNA". It matches the Rfam family "Bacterial small subunit ribosomal RNA", at positions 524 to 776 of the family's 1533-position model. The record is from RNAcentral. Lineage: Bacteria; Pseudomonadati; Bacteroidota; Bacteroidia; Bacteroidales.